RNAcentral lists this transfer RNA (58 nucleotides) under Paratomella rubra. RNAcentral describes it as "tRNA-Ala". The record is from RNAcentral. Lineage: Eukaryota; Metazoa; Xenacoelomorpha; Acoela; Paratomellidae.
AGGAUUUUAGUUUAUAUAGAAUGAUUUUUUUGCAUAAAAUUGGAUGUUAUAAAUUCUA